ACAGACUAGUGGAAUCGGCAAGUUGAUAGGACCAAUAUUUUGGGAGAUAUUAGUAAUUUGGAAAACAAUAGCCUUACAGUCAUGCUGCUAUGUCCAUGAUGGUUGACAGGAAGCACGGUACCAUGCUGCAUGAUGGGAAAUGAAAU
Long non-coding RNA from Sphaeramia orbicularis (orbiculate cardinalfish), 146 nucleotides. RefSeq lists it as uncharacterized. The record is from RefSeq and is a predicted model, not a curated record. Lineage: Eukaryota; Metazoa; Chordata; Actinopteri; Kurtiformes; Apogonidae. The transcript is spliced from 3 exons.